This 583-nucleotide ribosomal RNA is filed under the name uncultured bacterium. Its description in RNAcentral is "partial 16S ribosomal RNA". It matches the Rfam family "Bacterial small subunit ribosomal RNA", at positions 357 to 1375 of the family's 1533-position model. The record is from RNAcentral.
UGGGAAUUUGGACAAUGGGCGAAAGCCUGAUCCAGCAAUGCCGCGUGUGUGAAGAAGGCCUUCGGGUUGUAAAGCACUUUUGUCCGGAAAGAAAUCCUUGGCUCUAAUACAGUCGGGGGAUGACGGUACCGGAAGAAUAAGCACCGGCUAACUACGUGCCAGCAGCCGCGGUAAUACGUAGGGUGCAAGCGUUAAUCGGAAUUACUGGGCGUAAAGCGUGCGCAGGCGGUUUGCUAAGACCGAUGUGAAAUCCCCGGGCUCAACCUGGGAACUGCAUUGGUGACUGGCAGGCUAGAGUAUGGCAGAGGGGGGUAGAAUUCCACGUGUAGCAGUGAAAUGCGUAGAGAUGUGGAGGAAUACCGAUGGCGAAGGCAGCCCCCUGGGCAAUACUGACGCUCAUGCACGAAAAGCGUGGGGAGCAAACAGGAUUAGAUACCCUGGUAGUCCACGCCCUAAACGAUGUCAACUAGUUGUUGGGGAUUCAUUUCCUUAGUAACGUAGCUAACGCGUGAAGUUGACCGCCUGGGGAGUACGGUCGCAAGAUUAAAACUCAAAGGAAUUGACGGGGUCAUAGCUGUUUCCU